GUGGGGAAUCUUAGACAAUGGGCGCAAGCCUGAUCUAGCCAUGCCGCGUGAGCGAUGAAGGCCUUAGGGUUGUAAAGCUCUUUCAGCUGGGAAGAUAAUGACGGUACCAGCAGAAGAAGCCCCGGCUAACUCCGUGCCAGCAGCCGCGGUAAUACGGAGGGGGCUAGCGUUGUUCGGAAUUACUGGGCGUAAAGCGCACGUAGGCGGAUCAGAAAGUCAGAGGUGAAAUCCCAGGGCGCAACCUUGGAACUGCCUUUGAAACUCCUGAUCUUGAGGUCGAGAGAGGUGAGUGGAAUUCCGAGUGUAGAGGUGAAAUUCGUAGAUAUUCGGAGGAACACCAGUGGCGAAGGCGGCUCACUGGCUCGAUACUGACGCUGAGGUGCGAAAGCGUGGGGAGCAAACAGGAUUAGAAACCCGAGUAGUCC
Molecule: ribosomal RNA, 425 nt
Filed under: uncultured bacterium
Lineage: Bacteria
Description: partial 16S ribosomal RNA
Rfam family: Bacterial small subunit ribosomal RNA
Source: RNAcentral